AUGAAAUUACAAUGUAACUAUUUUUUUUUUCAGUGCACAGAAUGCAUCAGUACCCCUUUACUGGGUAUUAUCACGUGCAACCCUAUGACCCUGGCUACAUCAUCGCUUCUCAAGAUGAGAAAACAGAGGUCCCAUAUGAUAAAGGAACUUGUGGAAGACACAGCUCGGAGCUGCUGGUACUGGGGGCUUCAUUUAAGCCGUCCACGCUCCCGAGAAUUGCUUUGGACCAUUAUCUCCAGACUCUCCCUGGAUGUUAUCAUGUCCAGACUCUCCCUCUGCCCUAUCAGUAGCAGACACGUGUCCUUCAUUUUUGCCUGGACAUCUACAAGGAGCACAGGAUAAGCACUCUGAAUGCUGUGUCUCUCCAAAGGAGGCCUGCAGCGUCCCUCUUCUCCGGCUCGUUCAUGCAGGGGGUGGGGUGGCCCUGGGAACAGGACAAGGAAUUGUCCAUUUCUUAUGCAAAUGACAAUGGCGUAUGGGAGUUACAGGACAUAUAAAAUAAACAGAUAAAACCAAAUCAAGUCCAUUUUCUUCUCACGGUCAUCCCAUGAGGGCAAUUCGAAACCGUCAGUGAUAAACACUCCUUUCCUCGGAGACCGACGGCUCCCACAGCCAGCCUCCUCCACUGAGGACUCCCACUUGUCACGUUUGCUGAUCCUUCUCCCACGUGGCUGGCUCUGUCACCAGCUGUUCCAGCCACUCCGCUUCACAGAAGCCCCCUUCCUCUCUAAUUCCUGCACGUUCCACAAUAAAAAAAAACUGACCCUUUGGAUAUUUUCUAGAGUUGGUGCUCUGCCCUCUUCUGGUAACUUUUACUGAUAGAUACCC
Molecule: long non-coding RNA, 828 nt
Filed under: Mustela putorius furo (domestic ferret)
Lineage: Eukaryota; Metazoa; Chordata; Mammalia; Carnivora; Mustelidae
Description: lncRNA (ENSMPUG00000026442.1)
Source: RNAcentral